CGGUUGGGCCGGUGCAGUGCCUCGACCGGACAACGGGUCAGGAUCGGAAGGUAGCAGCCCACCCGGCUCGACCCACGUGCAUCGACCACCUGGCCGGCG
Molecule: signal recognition particle RNA, 99 nt
Filed under: Phycisphaerae bacterium
Lineage: Bacteria; Pseudomonadati; Planctomycetota; Phycisphaerae
Description: signal recognition particle sRNA small type
Rfam family: Bacterial small signal recognition particle RNA
About the family: The signal recognition particle (SRP) is a universally conserved ribonucleoprotein involved in the co-translational targeting of proteins to membranes. Archaeal SRP consists of a 7S RNA and homologues of the eukaryotic SRP19 and SRP54 proteins.
Source: RNAcentral